GACGAACGACUGGCGGCGUGCUUAACACAUGCAAGUCGAGCGGUAAGGCCCUUUCGGGGUACGACGAGCGGCGAACGGGUGAGUAACACGUGGGUGACCUGCCCUCCAGCUCUGGGAGUAAGCCUGGGAAACCGGGUCUAAUACUGGAUAUGACUCCAUGACGCAUGUUGUGGGGUGGAAAGCCUUGUGCGGCUGAGGAUGGGCCCGCGGCCUAUCAGCUUGUUGGUGGGGUGAGGCCUACCAAGGCGACGACGGGUAGCCGGCCUGAGAGGGCGACCGGCCACACUGGG
RNAcentral lists this ribosomal RNA (290 nucleotides) under uncultured bacterium. Its description in RNAcentral is "partial 16S ribosomal RNA". It matches the Rfam family "Bacterial small subunit ribosomal RNA", at positions 36 to 317 of the family's 1533-position model. The record is from RNAcentral.